RNAcentral lists this long non-coding RNA (3206 nucleotides) under Macaca mulatta (Rhesus monkey). RNAcentral describes it as "lncRNA (ENSMMUG00000063965.1)". The record is from RNAcentral. Lineage: Eukaryota; Metazoa; Chordata; Mammalia; Primates; Cercopithecidae.
GUGCAUAAUGAGAACCUAAUGAAUGCUCUGAAAUGUAUAUCUUUGUAAACUUGUUGGUGCCUGAGACAGAAAUGACCAAGAUGCAUCAACAUAUACUCUCUGGAAAUUAGCAUGUGUGUUUCAGGUCAAUGAAUAAAGGUACUGGGUAAAGGUUUGAGAGGGAGUAAAAGGCAGUGUGUAUAAGUACUGUCUCAAGGGUUUCAGAUUGGAGAAUUGCUGUCAACAAAUGUUAGAAGGUAGGCUCACUUCAGAGAGUCCCAUCUUUAGAGAAAGAUUCCUUAGAUCUCAGGUCUUUUUAUUCAGCUCUUCAUUUACUCAUUCCACAAUUACUGAACUCUGUACUUUAGAAUCGAGGAAGUUAGGGCAAAUUCAGGAAGCUUUCUCUUGCCUUCAUUCAUCUGGAGUGAAGUUUGUUCUGCCCAAAGCAGGUUUCUGUGAAAUGGUCCUUGGAAACUCACUGUGACCACCCUGCUCAACACAUAGUUAAAGGAAAUGGAAGAGCCAUUAGUCAGCCUGCUCCACCUCAAGGUAAGAUUCAGCAUUAUAUUUGGACAUAAACCAUUGGCAAAUUUAGCUGAAAGAUCAUGACCUUUCCAACUCUGGUAGAGCCACCACCUGAUAGAUGAAUUCAGUUAUUUGCAGAAUAUAUAUCAAAAACACAGUCAGGAACAGCAAAGGUCUCUGCCAUUCUGAAAAGUGAAUAGUAUUCGUGAUUUUUAUUAUGAUUUUUUUAAUCAACAAUGGUAGCGGGAACAGCACAGGUGUGACUCUUAUCUCUAAUCAAAUUGAUUUGAUUAAUAUCUCAAUUAGGAACAUGACAAGUGAAGAGGUAUGGUCAGUUCAAGGAAUAUAGACAGAAAAUUUAAUCAAUAAUCUUAGAUAACCAGAGAAUAGUUCAAAUACAUUAAGUUCAAGGUAUAUAUUAAGUUCGAAGUAUAAUUCUAUGUCAUCCACACAGGUAAGUAAACAAUUGGCUGAAAAAACUCCAUAAAAUAAGGAUUACUAAAAAUGGCACACAUAUACCUUUAUAAAAAAGAAAGAAAAUACAGAAACAUGGGCUAAUUAUAUGGAGAAUUGAAAGUGUUCCUUUUCCAAGUUAAGUGAAGUCCUGACUAUAAGAAUUUUUUUAUCUAUGAAAAUGGAGGCAUGAGCUCAACAGGCUUUUGUAGUUGAGGACAAGUAAAUAAACCACUUUUAUACUGCCUGAGGCUCACACAGCAUUAUGACAUGUACUUCUUUAUGUCUAUUUGCACAGAUGUAAUUUUACAAUUAUUUGUGCAUUUUUACUGUACAUCUAACACUUCAGCUAAUCUGUAAAGUUCAAAAUGACAGUUUCCACUUUUGCUAAACAUUGCGUCCCAAGUAUGUAGCUCAACCUCUUGAGUGAAUGAAUACAUGAAUUAAUUAAUAGACCUAUUGUUCAUUGUUUGAGUUUCCAUAAUCUGAGAUUUACUGACUCAAAUGCUUGCAUUUGCAUUUAAUGCCCUUUGUCAGUUAUAAUUCUCAUUUUUAGUUAAUAAACUGGGACAUUUGAUUCUUCAAUUUUGGGGGGCUGAUUAAUGCGAAAUAGUGGUCCUGAGUCUGAUACGUGCAUGCACAAUGAGAUUUUUUUACUUCAGCUUGAGAAGCUGACGUUGGACUUAUGUUGACUUUACCAAUAUUCCUAUCUGGGGGCCUGUUUAGUGACCAACCUGCUCCUAAUGGUUUUAUCUUUUCCAUUCCUAUAAAGGCAUUAUCAUAAAUAAUAUCCACCUUUCAGAAUGGCAACUCUUACUCAAAUCACAUGCAGACAUCAAUAAAUGUCUCUCAUGUAUUUCCCAUGGUGAAUGUAAAAUUAAGUAUACAAUGCUUCAAUACUUUCCACUUUAAGUGAAUCAAUACUGAAUUCUAUCCACUAUCCAGUUAAUUUGUAUGAUCUAGUAAGAAGAAACAAUUUUUCUACAUUUAAAAUAUGUACUUUAAUAGAGCUGCAUCUGUAUCUAUAUCUAUAUAUUAAGCCCUUGCUCAUAACACAAAGAUAUUGCAAAGCAUAAUGGAAUAUGUCUCAAAAACACACAUGAGGAAAGUUUAUUUUGAUUUCGUUAGAUGAAAGUCAUAGACUAAAGAAUUUUAAUAUUCUUUUUCUUUCUUGCCAAAUUCAAUUUCAGAUUCAGAUUAGCUAAUAGUACCUACUAUGCAUCUGGCUCUAAGUGAAAGAAUUUUACAAGUGUUAUUUUGUUUAAAACGGAGAUAUUUCAUGGGGUACAAACAGGCUCCACAGAAAUUGUUUAACUUGUGAAUGUCAGAAAAUGAGCAGAGUGACAGGAUUUAAACAGAAAUCUCUCAGUCCAGGUAAGAAUAUGCCAUGUCUUUUUUUCCCUUGCCUUAAAUGGGUUGAUAUUACUAUCUACUUCAUUUAUAGUAUUGAGGAGUUAUGACAUCACUCUCAAUGGUGAUUGUAUUAGGCCAUUCUUGCAUUGCUAUAAAGAAUUUCUGAGAUGGGGUAAUUUAUAAAGGAAAAAAGUAUAAUUGGCUCACAGUUCUACAAGCUGUAUAGAAAGCAUUAUGCUGGCGUCUGCUCAGCUUCUAGGGAUGCCUCAGGAAACUUACAAUCAUGACAGAAGGUGAAGGAAGAGUGGACAUGUCACAUGACCAGAGCAUGGGCAAGAGAGAGAGAGAGGGAGGUGCCACACACUUUUAAACAGCCAGAUCUUGUGAGAACUCACUCACUAUCAUGAGAACCACACCAAAGGGAUGGUGCUAAACCAUUCAUGAGAAAUUCACCACAAUGAAUCAAUCACCUCCUACCAGGCUCCACCUCCAAUAUUAGGCAUUACAAUUCAACAUGAGAUUUGGGUAGGGACACAUGUCCCAACUGUAUUAGUGAUACACUGAAAGCUUUUUCUCAAAGAUCAGGAACAAGGCAAGAAUGCCCACUCUCACCACUUCUAUUCAAUGUAGAACUGGAAGUCCUAGCCGGAGAAAUUAGGCAAGACAAAUUAAAUACACACACACACACACACACACACACACACACACACAUAUAUAUAUAUGAAUCAGAAAGAAAGCAGUAAAUUUGUCCCUGUGUGUAAAUGAUAUGAUAUUACGUGGAAACUUUAGAGACUCCAUUAUUAAAAAAUCUGUUAGAACUGUAGACAAAUUCUGUAAAGCUACAGGAUACAAAAUCAACAUACAAAAUCAGUUGUAAAUUUUAUGUACUAAUAUUA